GCCCCUGUGGUGGAAUUGGUAGACACGCGUGACUCAAAAUCACGUGCCGCGAGGCGUGUCCGUUCAAGUCGGACCGGGGGUACCA
Molecule: transfer RNA, 85 nt
Filed under: Hyphococcus sp.
Lineage: Bacteria; Pseudomonadati; Pseudomonadota; Alphaproteobacteria; Parvularculales; Parvularculaceae
Description: tRNA-Leu
Source: RNAcentral